GUUAAAACGCAGCCGUAAAACGCAGCGUAGCAGCGCAGCUGGCGGUGAAGCACGUCUCGUAGGCGGAACCGAGGCGCAAAAGGACACCGGAACAGUCUUAAGAACUAGAUUAAGGUCCCGUCAGACGUCCCUCCACAUUUUUCCGUAUUACUGAAGUCUAUAAAACUCUGACAUGUAGUCGCGGUGUUCUGGGAUGUUCUGGGGGUAAAAUCCGAACCCGAGAACAUGGGGGGUAGACGUGGCGGUGUGUGGAAAUUUCAACGGAGUUUCCUGAAACUCAGAGCGGUGGUUCCGCUCACCGCUGGUAGUUUUCACCCCGCGGCCUGUUCAACACAGGAAGCGCCGGGUUACUGUAAAGACCGGAGAUCAGCUCUGCCUGUGAACGCAACGAACUGAAACUUGUUUUUGUUUGCCAAACGACAUCCCAGUGCUAAAAGGAACAUUCCAGUCUGCUUGUUGGCACAUUCUUGUACACGAGUCUGACAUUCAGAUUUUUCUGCAGAUUCGGUGUCGGCUUCUCACAACGGAUAAGACUUGGAGUCUACAUGGGUUUGGUUGCAUUCAACUGACGUACACUCGCUGAAGCACACAGAAGUCCAGCUCCACCUGGUACACCUUUGUCGUUUCCAGUUACUCCAGUCAAUCUACAUCCAAAGCUUUGGACGCCCGGUCCUCUACCUGCAGCUCCCUGCAGGUCAGGAGUGCUGCUUCACUCUGGUGUCGAUGUGGACCACAGUGGGUGAUCUGCUGCGGGACGUAAAAGCCAAAUAUGUUUCAGUGGAAACUGCACUGUUAAACAACGGUGAGAAUCCAGAUGGCAGAGGAAGCAGAGAGUCGAGCAACCCUGCUGGGCCUACCUGUCCUUGCAGGGAGGUUUCCUGGGAUACCUCUCCUAGUAAACAGCCACGCCCUGCAGACAAACACCUGUAGCUUUCCCAGUUCACACAGCCUUUCACAGGGUUUGUGUCUAAAUCGAUGCCUGGUAUGUGUUUACCUGGGACGUCACCUUCUUCAUCUCCUGCACCAGAAGAAUGAUCUCCUUCGCCUACCACACCAAACCGGUCAGGUCCAGAUGUUUGGACUGUGUCUCUGUGGUGACCAGACCAGGUUUUUUCUUCAUAACUGCUCAUGUUACCUGGUUGUGGUUCAGUUUGACCUUACUAGGAUUUUUACAACACAAAGUGCAUGACUGUAGAGUGGAAGGGAAAUGAUACCUGGUUCUCAAACCUUUCCUAAAAUAAAAAUCUGAAAAGUGUGGUGUGCACGUGUUUUCAGCCCCAACCCCUCUUCCCCAGCCAAUGCUAUCUUAACCUGCUUUUCACAUCUGCACAAUGAAAAUUUAGCUGAUUAUUCUUUGCAAAACAUCACAAGCUCAGUCAGAAUGGUUGAAGAGCAUCUUUCCAAGUCUUGCCCCAGAUUCAGAUUUGGGUCUGGAGUUUGACUAGGCCAUUCCAACACAUGAUUUAAAACAUCCAUUGUAGCUCUGGCUGUAUGUUUAGGGUCGUUUUCCUGCUGGAAGGUGAACCUCCCCGCAGUCUGAAGUGUUUUCCAGCCUCUAAUGGGUUUUCUUCCAAGAUUUUCCAUAAAUCUAGCUCCAUCCAUCUUCCCAUCAACUCUGACUUGCUUCCCUGUCGCUGCUUAACAUCGGCAUACCCCCCAGGACGAUGCUGCCACUGCCAUGUCUCAGUACUGGGAUUGUGUUCGAGGUGAUGUGCAUAGUUACUAUUUUGCCACAGUGUUUUACAUUUCGGUCAGAGCGUUCAGUUUUGUCUCAUCCACCCAGAGCAGCUCCUACAUGCUUGCUGUGUCUCCUGAAUGGCAAACUGAAAACAAGACUUCUGAAGACUUUCCAAUAGCAAUGUGUGGAUCUCUGCAGCUCCUCCAGAGUUAUCGUCGACUCCUCUGAUUAAUGCUAUCCUUGCUCAGCCUGUCAGUUUGGUUGUUGUAGAACCUAACCUUGCUGUAAACCAGAACUUCCUCCAUCACCUGUCUGCUGUGUUCCUUGGUCCUGAUGAUGCUGUUUGUUCUGAAAUGUUCUCUAACGAACCUCUGAGGCCAGAAACAGAACAUCUGCAGUUAGACUCAUUAAUUAACACACAGGGACUGUAUUUAUUGUUUAGUGGACACCUGAUGCCAGAUGUUUCCACCACGUUUAAUUGUGAGGUAUCAAAGUAUCAUUUUCCAUUCACUGCACAGUUAUGCAGCACUAUCUGUUCAAUCAAAUGAAAUACAGUAAUGUGUGUGCUUGUAAAGUAAUAAAUGUGUUUUCAGGGUGGUCAGUCAUGACCGUAGCUAUUAUUCCCUUUCAUGUUGGAGUAUUUCAGCUACCUGGGAGUUGGACGGAGGCUUAGAGUGUUAAUAAAGUCAAACUGCUUUGUGAAACACAUGGAAUAAUGUCAGGUUGCAACGUUGUUUCCACAGCUUCCUUAGUAGAAACGGCUCAUUUGGGUCUGCGGGAUUUCAUCAGUUCAGAGGUUAGGGAUCCUCACUUCCUGCAUCACUUCCACAGGAAGGCGUUGCUGCAGAGAUUGGAUGCUGAGGGACGAGCUGGCAGAGGUGAUGGACACGGUUUUAAACCUUAUGGUGGAAGACGACCUCCACAGACUGAGGAGCACCAUUCAGCUGCAGCUGCCGGUCGAUCAGAUUCAACCUCAGAGAAAUACCUGAAAUUUCUCCCUCAUCACGUUAAAUAGCAUGUUUGCACUUUCUAGGUUCCUGUUUCUUCCUCAUGAAACAUGUUUCGUUUUUUUCUUGCUUUGGAAUUAUGCAAAGUAAAUCACGAGAAAAAACAGGUCUCUCCAUAAAUGAUUUUCUGUUAGAAAUAAAUGUUUAAUUUGAGAGUUCGGGGAAAAGGUGAAGAGCCACUGAACAGAUAAAAUAAACAACCAAUCAGAAACAUUCAAACAAAGAUUUCCAGGAUUUAUCCAUUAGUUUUUGUUUAGUUACCCACUUUUUCUUCCAGCUUUGUAUAAUAUUGCUUUAAAGCUAAUAGCUUGAAACGUUUGCUUCAGCCUGGAUGCUUCGCCCAGGAACGUUCAAAGCUACCAAGUUUCACCAAGGUCCCCGUCAUGAAUCCCAGAUGUCUCCGUUUAUCAGAGCAACCACCUCCAGCAUCUCUGCCGCUCAUCUCCAGGCUGGAACUCCAUGCUGCAUUCAGACGACGGAUGUGAGAAAAGCUGCAGGUCGGCCCUCAGGCUGCUGUGGAGAGGCAAUCCAAACCGACUCUCCUAACGUCAGCCGAAGGCUCGUGUUUCUAUUGGCGGAGCAAAUGGAAGCUAAAGAAGGUUGUUCUGUGUGUACGAGAUCAGAGGAGCAAUCGGAUGAGGCAGAGGAUGUGGGGAACAGAGAGACAUAAUGUACUGCAGGAAGGAUGACAUCAGCAGUUCCUCUGCACCAGAGCAGAGUAAGGCUACAUCAUUACUCCUGUGAUAAUGCUUGACUGUAGAAACUAGUAGCUCUUCAAUGGGAGAACCGCCGUUUUAGGAAGUUUUUCUUUGGUAAUUGAUUUUUUUACCUUUAAUUAAAGAUUGGUCCAUGAGUGUUAACCAGAAAAUAAGGACAUCUCCAUGCUGUGUCCCUCCUGGCCAUAAAAUCUAACUUCACUUCCUUUUUCACACGUAGAACACUGAGAUCUGGGCCCUGAAGGUUCUCACCUUUCUUUAGUAACUUGAAAAGCUUAAGGUCCAGGUAAGCAGAUAAGAGCGUGGUGGCCAAGUAUUCCGAAAUAUUUGAUAACAGACGGACCAGAAAGAGCUCACAGGUUUGAUUUGCUCCUAUUAAAGAAGAAUCCUGGGCCACAAUGGGUCAAGGUGGGUCACAAGAAGGUUGGUUCAUCAAGUCUUAAGCAACGUAGGAGAACUGAGAGACUGCAGGAUGCCCUCAUGAAGGCUGCUGAAGGCACAACUAUGGGAUAUGCACUGAAUAAAUUAGGCCUGCAUGAGCAUCUCCACUCUGACCCAAAGCAACAUCAGAAGUUGACUAGAACAUCUGGAGAAAUUUCCUGUACGGACCUUCUCACCACCACAUUUCAACCUGAUUUAAAGAAGGAAGCUGCAGCACUGAAGUUUAUAAUAAUGUCAGAAUUAUUAUUAACUUAUUGCUAUCUUAUAAUUUUUUUUAUUGCCAGUUUUUAUUAUGAAUGAAGAAGCUGUAAUUUGGACAAAAGAUUGAACAAGAAUAAAACAUUAAAAUAAUCAGAAAAUC
Long non-coding RNA from Girardinichthys multiradiatus, 4203 nucleotides. RefSeq lists it as uncharacterized. The transcript is spliced from 8 exons. The record is from RefSeq and is a predicted model, not a curated record. NCBI's taxonomy places the organism in Eukaryota, Metazoa, Chordata, Actinopteri, Cyprinodontiformes, Goodeidae.